GGGAAUAUCGCCUAAUGGAAGGGCAUCGAUCUUCUAAAUCGAUCUGUGUAGGUUCGAGUCCUACUAUUCCUGCCA
Molecule: transfer RNA, 75 nt
Filed under: Alkalinema sp. RU_4_3
Lineage: Bacteria; Bacillati; Cyanobacteriota; Cyanophyceae; Leptolyngbyales; Leptolyngbyaceae
Description: tRNA-Arg
Rfam family: tRNA
About the family: Transfer RNA (tRNA) molecules are approximately 80 nucleotides in length. Their secondary structure includes four short double-helical elements and three loops (D, anti-codon, and T loops).
Source: RNAcentral